RNAcentral lists this transfer RNA (68 nucleotides) under Glaucidium cuculoides (Asian barred owlet). RNAcentral describes it as "tRNA-Cys". The record is from RNAcentral. Lineage: Eukaryota; Metazoa; Chordata; Aves; Strigiformes; Strigidae.
GACCUUGCGGUGAAAGUUCAUAUUGAGUUGCAAGCUCAUUGAUGUGCAUUAAGAGUGCGCCGAGGUCU